Molecule: ribosomal RNA, 392 nt
Filed under: uncultured bacterium
Lineage: Bacteria
Description: bacterial SSU rRNA
Rfam family: Bacterial small subunit ribosomal RNA
Source: RNAcentral
GAUGAACGCUGGCGGCGUGCCUAACACAUGCAAGUCGAGCGAGAAGGUUAUGACGGAUUCUUCGGAUGACGGAUUAACUGGAAAGCGGCGGACGGGUGAGUAACGCGUGGGUAACCUGCCCCAUACACAGGGAUAGCCAUUGGAAACGAUGAUUAAUACCUGAUAACACAUUUUGAUCGCAUGGUUUGAAUGUCAAAGAUUUAUCGGUAUGGGAUGGACCCGCGUCUGAUUAGCUAGUUGGUAAGGUAAUGGCUUACCAAGGCGACGAUCAGUAGCCGACCUGAGAGGGUGAUCGGCCACACUGGAACUGAGACACGGCCCAGACUCCUACGGGAGCAGCAGUGAGGAAUCUUGGACAAUGGGGAACCUGAUCCAGCCAUGCCGCGUGAACG